Molecule: ribosomal RNA, 403 nt
Filed under: uncultured bacterium
Lineage: Bacteria
Description: partial 16S ribosomal RNA
Rfam family: Bacterial small subunit ribosomal RNA
Source: RNAcentral
GACGAACGCUGGCGGCGUGCCUAAUACAUGCAAGUCGAACGCAGUUGGGACGGGUGAGUAACACGUGGGUCACCUCCCGUCAGAGGGGAUAACACUUGGAAACAGGUGCUAAACCGAUACUGAUGGAUGGACCCGCGGUGCAUUCGCUAGUUGGUGAGGUAACGGCUCACCAAGGCCACGAGGCAUAGCCGAGCUGAGAGGGUGAUUGGCCAAACUGGGAAUGAGAAAAGGCCCAGACUCCGACGGGAGGCAGCAGUAGGGAAACUUCGGCAAUGGACGAAAGUCUGACCGAGCAAAGCCGCGUGAGUGAAGAAGGUUUUCGGAUCGUAAAGCUCUGUUGUUAAGGAAGCGGUACUUAACCAGAAAGGGACGGCUAACUACGUGCCAGCAGCCGCGGUAAUUC